RNAcentral lists this microRNA (19 nucleotides) under Pongo pygmaeus (Bornean orangutan). Its description in RNAcentral is "ppy-miR-1261". The record is from miRBase by way of RNAcentral. Lineage: Eukaryota; Metazoa; Chordata; Mammalia; Primates; Hominidae.
GUGGAUAAGGCUUUGGCUU